UUGAACGCUGGCGGCAGGCCUAACACAUGCAAGUCGAGCGGAUGAAGGGAGCUUGCUCCUGGAUUCAGCGGCGGACGGGUGAGUAAUGCCUAGGAAUCUGCCUGGUAGUGGGGGAUAACGUCCGGAAACGGGCGCUAAUACCGCAUACGUCCUGAGGGAGAAAGUGGGGGAUCUUCGGACCUCACGCUAUCAGAUGAGCCUAGGUCGGAUUAGCUAGUUGGUGGGGUAAAGGCCUACCAAGGCGACGAUCCGUAACUGGUCUGAGAGGAUGAUCAGUCACACUGGAACUGAGACACGGUCCAGACUCCUACGGGAGGCAGCAGUGGGGAAUAUUGGACAAUGGGCGAAAGCCUGAUCCAGCCAUGCCGCGUGUGUGAAGAAGGUCUUCGGAUUGUAAAGCACUUUAAGUUGGGAGGAAGGGCAGUAAGUUAAUACCUUGCUGUUUUGACGUUACCAACAGAAUAAGCACCGGCUAACCUCGUG
RNAcentral lists this ribosomal RNA (483 nucleotides) under uncultured bacterium. Its description in RNAcentral is "partial 16S ribosomal RNA". It matches the Rfam family "Bacterial small subunit ribosomal RNA", at positions 30 to 507 of the family's 1533-position model. The record is from RNAcentral.